This 449-nucleotide ribosomal RNA is filed under the name uncultured bacterium. RNAcentral's name for it is "partial 16S ribosomal RNA". It matches the Rfam family "Bacterial small subunit ribosomal RNA", at positions 29 to 523 of the family's 1533-position model. The record is from RNAcentral.
AACGAACGCUGGCGGCAGGCCUAACACAUGCAAGUCGAGCGAGACCUUCGGGUCUAGCGGCGGACGGGUGAGUAACGCGUGGGAAUAUGCCCUUCUCUACGGAAUAGCCUCGGGAAACUGGGAGUAAUACCGUAUACGCCCUACGGGGGAAAGAUUUAUCGGAGAAGGAUUAGCCCGCGUUGGAUUAGGUAGUUGGUGGGGUAAUGGCCUACCAAGCCUACGAUCCAUAGCUGGUUUGGGAGGAUGAUCAGCCACACUGGGACUGAGACACGGCCCAGACUCCUACGGGAGGCAGCAGUGGGGAAUCUUAGACAAUGGGGGAAACCCUGAUCUAGCCAUGCCGCGUGAGUGAUGAAGGCCUUAGGGUUGUAAAGCUCUUUCAGCUGGGAAGAUAAUGACGGUACCAGCAGAAGAAGCCCCGGCUAACUCCGUGCCAGCCGCCGCCGUAA